This 74-nucleotide transfer RNA is filed under the name Halanaerobiales bacterium. Its description in RNAcentral is "tRNA-Cys". It matches the Rfam family "tRNA". From Rfam's summary of the family: Transfer RNA (tRNA) molecules are approximately 80 nucleotides in length. The record is from RNAcentral. Lineage: Bacteria; Bacillati; Bacillota; Clostridia; Halanaerobiales.
GGCGGCAUAGCCAAGUGGUAAGGCAGAGGACUGCAAAUCCUUCAGCGACGGUUCAAAUCCGUCUGCCGCCUCCA